Molecule: non-coding RNA, 125 nt
Organism: Hordeum vulgare subsp. vulgare (domesticated barley)
Lineage: Eukaryota; Viridiplantae; Streptophyta; Magnoliopsida; Poales; Poaceae
Source: Rfam
CAAAUAAUCCCUCCGUCCGAAAUUACUUGUCACACAAAUGUAUAAAAAUGGAUGUACCUAAAACUAAAAUACAUCUAGAUACAUUCAUUCCUAUGACGAGUAUUUUUGGACGGAGGAAGUAAUAA